RNAcentral lists this long non-coding RNA (292 nucleotides) under Elaeis guineensis (African oil palm). Its description in RNAcentral is "long non-coding RNA (EGUI_LNC054549)". The record is from RNAcentral. Lineage: Eukaryota; Viridiplantae; Streptophyta; Magnoliopsida; Arecales; Arecaceae.
UGCCCUCUCUUCUCAUACCCAAAAAUCUCAUGUAAAACCUCUUUUUGUAUGUAGAAAAUGGCGUAGGUCCGAGGCAUGCACAAGGGAGAGAGAGUCCCUACUGGUUGGGACUCUUCUUUUCAAUUUGAUUCCAAAUCAAAUUAAAUCUAGUUUGAACCCAAUAAGAGGAAGGAACCUCAUCUAAUUAGGAACCCAAUCAUUUUAAUAAAUUCCUAACCCAAUUAAGAAUUAACUGAAUCCAAGUCCUGAUCAAAUCAGGAACAAGUUUUUCUUGUAAUUAGGCUAGAUCACA